This 484-nucleotide ribosomal RNA is filed under the name uncultured bacterium. Its description in RNAcentral is "partial 16S ribosomal RNA". It matches the Rfam family "Bacterial small subunit ribosomal RNA", at positions 29 to 507 of the family's 1533-position model. The record is from RNAcentral.
AUUGAACGCUGGCGGCAUGCUUUACACAUGCAAGUCGAACGGCAGCGCGGGCUUCGGCCUGGCGUCGAGUGGCGAACGGGUGAGUAAUACGUCGGAACGUGCCCAGUUGUGGGGGAUAGCUCGGCGAAAGCCGGAUUAAUACCGCAUACGACCUGAGGGUGAAAGCGGGGGAUCUUCGGACCUCGCGCUAUUGGCCCGGCCGAUGGCAGAUUAGCUAGUUGGUGGGGUAAAGGCCUACCAAGGCGCCGAUCUGUAGCUGGUCUGAGAGGACGACCAGCCACACUGGGACUGAGACACGGCCCAGACUCCUACGGGAGGCAGCAGUGGGGAAUUUUGGACAAUGGGCGAAAGCCUGAUCCAGCAAUGCCGCGUGUGUGAAGAAGGCCUUCGGGUUGUAAAGCACUUUUGGCGGGAACGAAAAGGACUGUGCCAAUACCACGGUUCGAUGACGGUACCCGCAGAAUAAGCACCGGCUAACUACGUG